This 595-nucleotide long non-coding RNA is filed under the name Solanum tuberosum (potato). Its description in RNAcentral is "long non-coding RNA (STUB_LNC003905)". The record is from RNAcentral. Lineage: Eukaryota; Viridiplantae; Streptophyta; Magnoliopsida; Solanales; Solanaceae.
UAAAACAUGGUAUAAAGUAGGCAGAUCUGCAACUUUCACAUAUCCAGAUUCAUCCCAUAAUAUGUUUGCCAUUUCACUCAGAAUUUAAAAGCUUUCCAGACAUUGAACAGGCUUACUUCAGCCACCAAUAAACAAACAUAGCAUGAGACCGUGAAACAGCCAGAAAGACUUAACAGAAUUAGGCUUCAGGUCUCAAUCAAUUAUUGCGUCAGGAUCAGGCUUCAGGUCUCAAUGAAUUAUUGCAUCAGGUUUAUGUUUAGAAUCAAGAUCGAAACUUUCAUGGUUAUGGCAUUUUUACAGAAGCUAGUGGAAUGAAGAAGAUGAACAAGGAACAACAUAAAAAGCAAAUAAGGAGUUCACAAAGUUUUAAACAACAUUUUGAUAUAGAAAAGGUCAACAAAACACGUGGAAAGAUCACCACCGCAGAUCUCUUAAGUGAUGGAUUAAAUCAGAGUUGUAAGAGACACAUAGACACAACUAUUAGAAAGAUAAUUUCAGAUUUCUCUACAUAUUUAUGUAGACAAAUUCUUCUGCAACUGAUCAUGAAGUUGUGGCACUUCUUUCCUUUCUACCCAUGACAAAUUGUCACUUUUAC